This 910-nucleotide ribosomal RNA is filed under the name Clavicipitaceae sp. WFS09061701. Its description in RNAcentral is "eukaryotic LSU rRNA". It matches the Rfam family "Eukaryotic large subunit ribosomal RNA", at positions 38 to 964 of the family's 3401-position model. The record is from RNAcentral. Lineage: Eukaryota; Fungi; Ascomycota; Sordariomycetes; Hypocreales; Clavicipitaceae.
GCAUAUCAAUAAGCGGAGGAAAAGAAACCAACAGGGAUUGCCCCAGUAACGGCGAGUGAAGCGGCAGCAGCUCAGAUUUGAAAUCUGGCCCCCCGGCGGGGGGCCCGAGUUGUGGUCUGCAGAGGAUGCCCUGGGCGCGGCGCCUUCCGAGUUCCCUGGAACGGGACGCCACAGAGGGUGAGAGCCCCGUCCGGUCGGACGCCAGGCCCGUGUAGGGCUCCUUCGACGAGUCGAGUAGUUUGGGAAUGCUGCUCAAAGUGGGAGGUAUAUGUCUUCUAAAGCUAAAUACCGGCCAGAGACCGAUAGCGCACAAGUAGAGUGAUCGAAAGAUGAAAAGCACUUUGGAAAGAGGGUUAAAGAGCACGUGAAAUUGCUGAAAGGGAAGCGCCCGCGACCAGACUUGGGCCCGGCAGGUCACCCAGGCUCUCGGGCCAGGGGCACUCUGCCGGGCGCAGGCCAGCAUCGGCUCGGCGCGGGGGACAAAGGCGGCGGGAACGUGGCUCCCCAGGGAGUGCUUAUAGCCCGCCGCGCCAUGCCCCGUGCCGGGCCGAGGCACGCGCACCGCAAGGAUGCUGGCGUAAUGGUCGCCGGCGACCCGUCUUGAAACACGGACCAAGGAGUCGUCCUCGUAUGCGAGUGUUGGGGUGCCAAACCCCUACGCGCAGUGAAAGCGAACGCAGGUGAGAGCCGAAGCCUCGGCGCAUCAUCGACCGAUCCUGAUGUUCUCGGAUGGAUUUGAGUAGGAGCAUACGGGGCCGGACCCGAAAGAAGGUGAACUAUGCCUGUGUAGGGUGAAGCCAGAGGAAACUCUGGUGGAGGCUCGCAGCGGUUCUGACGUGCGAAUCGAUCGUCAAACAUGGGCAUGGGGGCGAAAGACUAAUCGAACCUUCUAGUAGCUGGUUUCCGCCGA